GCCAGCGCGGUGGUGAUGGUGCC
This 23-nucleotide microRNA is filed under the name Gallus gallus (chicken). Its description in RNAcentral is "gga-miR-7467-5p". The record is from miRBase by way of RNAcentral. Lineage: Eukaryota; Metazoa; Chordata; Aves; Galliformes; Phasianidae.